AGAGUUUGAUCAUGGCUCAGGACGAACGCUGGCGGCGUGCUUAACACAUGCAAGUCGAACGGAAAGGCCCUUCGGGGUACUCGAGUGGCGAACGGGUGAGUAACACGUGGGUGAUCUGCCCUGCACUUUGGGAUAAGCCUGGGAAACUGGGUCUAAUACCGAAUAGGACCACGCGCUUCAUGGUGUGUGGUGGAAAGCUUUUGCGGUGUGGGAUGGGCCCGCGGCCUAUCAGCUUGUUGGUGGGGUAAUGGCCUACCAAGGCGACGACGGGUAGCCGGCCUGAGAGGGUGACCGGCCACACUGGGACUGAGAUACGGCCCAGACUCCUACGGGAGGCAGCAGUGGGGAAUAUUGCACAAUGGGCGCAAGCCUGAUGCAGCGACGCCGCGUGAGGGAUGACGGCCUUCGGGUUGUAAACCUCUUUCAAUAGGGACGAAGCGCAAGUGACGGUACCUAUAGAAGAAGCACCGGCCAACUACGUGCCAGCAGCCGCGGUAAUACGUAGGGUGCGAGCGUUGUCCGGAAUUACUGGGCGUAAAGAGCUCGUAGGUGGUUUGUCGCGUUGUUCGUGAAAACUCACAGCUUAACUGUGGGCGUGCGGGCGAUACGGGCAGACUAGAGUACUGCAGGGGAGACUGGAAUUCCUGGUGUAGCGGUGGAAUGCGCAGGUAUCAGGAGGAACACCGGUGGCGAAGGCGGGUCUCUGGGCAGUAACUGACGCUGAGGAGCGAAAGCGUGGGGAGCGAACAGGAUUAGAUACCCUGGUAGUCCAA
This 773-nucleotide ribosomal RNA is filed under the name uncultured bacterium. RNAcentral describes it as "bacterial SSU rRNA". It matches the Rfam family "Bacterial small subunit ribosomal RNA", at positions 8 to 798 of the family's 1533-position model. The record is from RNAcentral.